Molecule: long non-coding RNA, 2744 nt
Filed under: Homo sapiens (human)
Lineage: Eukaryota; Metazoa; Chordata; Mammalia; Primates; Hominidae
Description: HSALNT0342241
Source: RNAcentral
CCUCCAGUCGCCGCUGCCACCUGGGGCCGGAGUCUGCGCUGGGAGCCGCCGUCCUGCUGAGGCACGGCCCGGCUGUCCUGGUUGUUUUAUGCAUUGUAGGAUAUUUAGCAGCAAUCCUGGCCUCAACCUACCAGAUGCCAGUAGCACCUGCCGGCUGUAACAAUCAAAGAUGUUUCUGGAGGAACAAUUUGGCUUUCAGGAAGAGCAAAUAGUUGGACGUCCCCUGGGGGAGGCAGAAUCGACUUUAGCUGAGAAUCACUGUUCUUAGCAUUCAGGAUAAUAUGUCAAUUAGAUAUUUUAGCUAUUGAGAGAAGGACUGGAACUCCAUGGACUGGACCUGUUUCCUGCAGAGUUUAAAGUCUCCACCUAGUUCCUAGAAAACAAAGGAGUUUUACUAGAGAUCACUUGGGGGUAAAGGUAGUAUUGUCAAGCAGAGUCAAGAGCUGUUGAAGUCUAAUCUCAGGGCAGGGGCCUGCAAUUCUGUAUCAAGCAAACUAGGUGGUCCCUGUGGAGGCACCCUGGCUCCAGCACUGCUGCUUUUGGUUCCUGUCAGGAGCUAUUUGAUUCCAGGGGGUUGUAGAUUUCUCCCUUGAGUUCUAACUCAUAUUCACAACUACCUACUUAAAGAUCAAGUAGGCAUCUCAAACUUACCACCACAAAACCAAACUCUUCAUUCUCCUCCCACCAUCCAAACCUAAUUCUUCCUCAUCUUAAUGAAUGGACCCUCUAAUGCCCCAGUUGCUCAGUCCAAAAAGCCUAGAUGUCACUCUCUUAUACCCUACAUCUAAGCCAUCAGCAAAUCCUGUUGGCCCUACUUUCAAAAUAUUGACAGAGACGGACAACUCCCACUCCCUCCAAGGCUUCAGGUCCAAUCCACCAUCUUCUCCCUAGACUUUGUCAGCUGUCUCCCUGCUUCUACUCUUUCCUCUGCAUACUCUCUUCUCUAUCCAAGAACCAGAUAAUCUUUUAAAAAUAUAGCUAAGAUGAUUUUACAUGUUGUUUGGAACUUUCCAAAGGUUUCUCCUCUCAGAAUAACAAAGUCCUUUCAUACCUGACAGUUCUUCCUGAUCAUGCCAGGCACGCUCCCAGUUUUGUUUUCAGCUCCUGUUGUUCUCCUUGCCUAGAAGCUACUUUCUCAAGCCCUUUACACAACUUUCUCCUUCUCUUCAUGUGAGUUCCUGUUUUGAGAGACCUUCUCUAACUAUCUGUCAUGUUUUUAAAACAUAUCUGCAAAUUCUUUGACACUCUUUUCACCAAGAGUUAGAGUCCAGUUCCUCUCCUCUUGAAACUGACCAAAGUGACUCACUUCUAACAAAUUAAAUGUGAAGGCAGUGAUGCUUAGUCAUAAGAGGUGAUAGGUGGGAUGCUUGCCCUUGGAACAGAGCUGCAAUGCUGGGAGGAACCUCCACCACAUUGACAGGCUGCACAGAGGUAUUCCAGCAAUAGUCCUCACUGUGGUCAUAGUGGACACCUAGCACCAACCAUCAGUCAGAAAAGCAAUGCCAGAUCUGGUCUCCUUUCUUUCCUUUCCAUAUCUUUGAGGAAUUGCCACACUAUUUUCCAUAAUGGUUGAACUAAUUCACACUCCCACCGACAGUGUAUAAGUGUUUAUUUUUCUCCACAACCUUGCCACACCUGUUAUUUUUUGACUCUUUAUUAAUAGCCAUUCUGACUGGUGUUAGAUGGUAUCUUAUUGUGGUUUUGAUUUGCACUUCUCUAGUAAUCAGUGAUGUUAAGCUUUUUUUUUAUAUGAUUGUCGUCCACAUGUAUGUCUUCUUUUGAAAAAUGUCUGUUCAUGUCCAUUGCCCAUUUUUUAAUUUUUUUUUCUUGUACAUUUAAGUUCUUUAUAGAUGUUGGCUAUUAGACCUUUGUUGGAUGUAUAGUUUGCAUUUCUUUUCCCCAGUCUGUGUUCUUGGCACCUUUGUCAAAAAUGAGUUCACUGUAGAUGUGUAGAUUUGUUACUGGGGUCUCUAUUCUGUUCCAUUGGUCUAUGUGUCUGUUUUUAUACCAGUACCAGGCUGUUUUGGUUACUAUAGCUCUGUAGUAUACUUUGAAGUCAGGUCAGGCUGCCCCUCCAUGUGGAUGCCUUCCCCAGCACACUUGGAAUCUGACUUGGAGCCACCAUGACUCUCUUGUCCACCUUAAUGUGUGGCUACCACAUGGCUGCAACCCACCUAAUGGCUUUAGUAUUCAGAAAAGGAGGGAAAAUGAAAGAAUAAAAAAGGAAAAUGAAUAGUGCUUUUAGACAUGCUGCCCAAUCAACUGACGAAUUGACAAUUUUUUAUUCAGUGUUCAUUGCAUUAAGACAAUUGGGAGGUGAAGAUGGAAUGCAAGACGUAUAAGAAAACAUGUUUCCUGUGUUCCAGAAAUGUCAGGGGAGAUGUGGUAAAAAUAAUAAAUCAUAACUAAUAAUAUGAUAAGUGCUUCGUUGAGUGUUACAAAAAAUAUGUUCUUCAAAGAAGGCAGAAUGAAACUAUGAAUAUUUUCUCCAAACAAUGGGCAAAGUCACAGCAGAUUAACUCUCACCUAUGUUAAUAAUCAAAUUGGAAUUCUGACAAAGGCCCCACACCAACAGUGAUUACAAUGAUAAAAAAUGUUUAUUUGCUGGUUUUCAGUCAUUCAGUUCUAUAGAUUUCUCUUUAGUGUGCAGGAUGGCAUCAGAUAAUAUUUUUGUAAAGGGGAUUUUAUCACUUCGCUUAAUAUAAAACUUAUAGAAUAUUACAAAUAAAACGUGAUAUAAAUGU